UUAAGUUCAGCGGGUAGUCCUACCUGAUUUGAGGUCAAAUUGUCAAGGUAUUGUCCUCGCGGACGGUUAGAAGCGAGUCUGAACCUCGUCCACGGCGUAGAUAAUUAUCACACCAAUAGACGGAAGUUCAGUAUGAACUCGCUAAUGCAUUUCAGGGGAGCAGACCGCCGUGAGGCAGCCUGCACAAACCCCCACAUCCA
RNAcentral lists this unclassified non-coding RNA (200 nucleotides) under Agaricales sp. Its description in RNAcentral is "partial internal transcribed spacer 2". Lineage: Eukaryota; Fungi; Basidiomycota; Agaricomycetes; Agaricales. The record is from RNAcentral.